This 500-nucleotide ribosomal RNA is filed under the name uncultured bacterium. Its description in RNAcentral is "partial 16S ribosomal RNA". It matches the Rfam family "Bacterial small subunit ribosomal RNA", at positions 30 to 523 of the family's 1533-position model. The record is from RNAcentral.
AUUGAACGCUGGCGGAAUGCUUUACACAUGCAAGUCGAACGGCAGCACGGGGGCAACCCUGGUGGCGAGUGGCGAACGGGUGAGUAAUACAUCGGAACGUGCCCAGUCGUGGGGGAUAACGUAGCGAAAGUUACGCUAAUACCGCAUACGAUCUACGGAUGAAAGCGGGGGACCGUAAGGCCUCGCGCGAUUGGAGCGGCCGAUGUCAGAUUAGGUAGUUGGUGAGGUAAAGGCACACCAAGCCGACGAUCUGUAGCUGGUCUGAGAGGACGGCCAGCCACACUGGGACUGAGGCACGGCCCAGACUCCUCCGGGAGGCAGCAGUGGGGAAUUUUGGACAAUGGGCGCAAGCCUGAUCCAGCCAUUCCGCGUGCAGGACGAAGGCCUUCGGGUUGUAAACUGCUUUUGUACGGAACGAAAAGGCUCUGGUUAAUACCUGGGGCUCAUGACGGUACCGUAAGAAUAAGCACCGGCUAACUACGUGCCAGCAGCCGCAGUAA